UGAUGAAGAACGUAGCGAAAUGCGAUAAGUAAUGUGAAUUGCAGAAUUCAGUGAAUCAUCGAAUCUUUGAACGCACAUUGCGCCCGCCAGUAUUCUGGCGGGCAUGCCUGUCCGAGCGUCAUUUCAACCCUCGAACCCCUCCGGGGGUCCGGCGUUGGGGAUCGGGAACCCCUAAGACGGGAUCCCGGCCCCGAAAUACAGUGGCGGUCUCGCCGCAGCCUCUCAUGCGCAGUAGUUUGCACAACUCGCACCGGGAGCGCGGCGCGUCCACGUCCGUAAAACACCCAACUUCUGAAAUGUUGACCUCGGAUCAGGUAGGAAUACCCGCUGAACUUAAGCAUAUCAAUAAGCGGAGGA
This 357-nucleotide unclassified non-coding RNA is filed under the name soil metagenome. RNAcentral describes it as "partial contains 5.8S ribosomal RNA, internal transcribed spacer 2, and large subunit ribosomal RNA". The stretch from base 2 to 121 matches the Rfam family "5.8S ribosomal RNA", at positions 35 to 154 of the family's 154-position model. The record is from RNAcentral.